This 446-nucleotide ribosomal RNA is filed under the name uncultured bacterium. RNAcentral describes it as "partial 16S ribosomal RNA". It matches the Rfam family "Bacterial small subunit ribosomal RNA", at positions 338 to 795 of the family's 1533-position model. The record is from RNAcentral.
CCUACGGGUGGCAGCAGUCGAGAAUCAUUCACAAUGGGGGAAACCCUGAUGGUGCGACGCCGCGUGGGGGAAUGAAGGUCUUCGGAUUGUAAACCCCUGUCAUGUGGGAGCAAAGUAAAAAGAUAGUACCACAAGAGGAAGAGACGGCUAACUCUGUGCCAGCAGCCGCGGUAAUACAGAGGUCUCAAGCGUUGUUCGGAAUCACUGGGCGUAAAGCGUGCGUAGGCUGUUUCGUACGUCGUGUGUGAAAUGGGCGGGCUCAACCCGCGGACGGCACAUGAUACUGCGAGACUAGAGUAAUGGAGGGGGAACCGGAAUUCUCGGUGUAGCAGUGAAAUGCGUAGAUAUCGAGAGGAACACUCGUGGCGAAGGCGGGUUCCUGGACAUUAACUGACGCUGAGGCACGAAGGCCAGGGGAGCGAAAGGGAUUAGAUACCCCAGUAGUC